UACGUAGGGUCCGAGCGUUGUCCGGAAUUAUUGGGCGUAAAGAGCUCGUAGGCGGUGUGUCGCGUCGGCCGUGAAAACCUGCAGCUUAACUGUGGGCUUGCGGUCGAUACGGGCAUCACUGGAGUUCGGCAGGGGAGACUGGAAUUCCAGGUGUAGCGGUGAAAUGCGUAGAUAUCUGGAGGAACACCGGUGGCGAAGGCGGCAUUCUGGACCAUAACUGACACUGAGAGACGAAAGCCAGGGGAGCAAACGGG
Molecule: ribosomal RNA, 254 nt
Filed under: uncultured bacterium
Lineage: Bacteria
Description: partial 16S ribosomal RNA
Rfam family: Bacterial small subunit ribosomal RNA
Source: RNAcentral